This is a small nucleolar RNA of Sorex araneus (European shrew), 145 nucleotides long. Its record names the gene U8. It matches the Rfam family "U8 small nucleolar RNA". From Rfam's summary of the family: U8 is a member of the C/D class of snoRNA which contain the C (UGAUGA) and D (CUGA) box motifs. U8 is the RNA component of a small complex (the U8 snoRNP) which is required for accumulation of mature large subunit ribosomal RNAs, 5.8S and 28S rRNAs. The record is from Ensembl. Lineage: Eukaryota; Metazoa; Chordata; Mammalia; Eulipotyphla; Soricidae.
AUGUCAGGUAGGAUAAUCCUUACCUGUUUCUUUCUUCAGAAGGCAGAUAGAACAUGCUGAUUGGAGUUCACAUGAUUUGUGAUUAAUGUCUCUGAGUGAUUAGAGGUGAUUAGGGCUCAGAACACCCUAAUCACUCCUAUCUGAU